Molecule: long non-coding RNA, 577 nt
Organism: Jatropha curcas
Lineage: Eukaryota; Viridiplantae; Streptophyta; Magnoliopsida; Malpighiales; Euphorbiaceae
Source: RefSeq, a predicted model, not a curated record
AUCUCUCAUCACGUUCAAAACUAUUUUAGGGCAAAAUAUCCUUUACCUUUGCGAAUAGAGAAUGCAGAAGAAGAAUCAAUGGACUAUAGCAUCUGUAGAUGUGGAUUGGGAUGCCUUAUGAGAAUUUCAUGGACUGAAUGAAAUCAAGGAAGGCGUUUCGUGGCCUGUGAAAUUCGCUCGGUGGAUCAUAGUCGGGGAUGUGAUUAUUUUCAGUGGAUGGACCUGAUCAUGGGAGAUACAGCAUCGAAAAUUAUACCAUGCCUAUUAAGGAGCAAGAACGAGUUAGAAGAGCAAUUGUAGAUAAAUUGGAGGCAGGAGAAGCUGCUUUGGCUGUGGGUGGUCAUCUCAUUGCUCAUUAUUAUUUUCAAUUGACUUCACUUAUAAUAGUUUAUAGUAAUGAUCAUGGGAGGCGAUGAGAGGUGUUAAUUUGGUGAUGAUUUUUUAUCGGUGAACUAAUGUAGUUGAAAUUAAGAUAGGCGAUGUUUAUUGUAGGAUUUCAAGGAAGUCUCACCGUGAUUCUCAUAUUUGUCUUUUGUAAUGAAUUUUGAUGGAAUGAAAAAGAAAACAAAUUCUGAAA